ACUCCCCAACCAUAGCUCAAAUUUAUGCUCAAAAAUUCGCUUCACAACAACCAACAGAACCUGAAAUAACUUCACCACCACAACAAACAACCACCAUACCUUCUGAAGACCAACCCAAUGCUCAAAAAUUCGCUUCACAACAACCAACAGAACCUGAAAUAACUUCACCACCACAACAAACAACCACCAUACCUUCUGAAGACCAACCCUCU
Molecule: long non-coding RNA, 212 nt
Filed under: Lathyrus oleraceus (garden pea)
Lineage: Eukaryota; Viridiplantae; Streptophyta; Magnoliopsida; Fabales; Fabaceae
Description: Pisum sativum (pea) long non-coding RNA (PSAT_LNC033147)
Source: RNAcentral